AUUGAACGCUGGCGGCAGGCCUAACACAUGCAAGUCGAACGGUAACAGGAAACAGCUUGCUGUUUCGCUGACGAGUGGCGGACGGGUGAGUAAUGUCUGGGAAACUGCCUGAUGGAGGGGGAUAACUACUGGAAACGGUAGCUAAUACCGCAUAACGUCGCAAGACCAAAGAGGGGGACCUUCGGGCCUCUUGCCAUCGGGUGUGCCCAGAUGGGAUUAGCUAGUAGGUGGGGUAACGGCUCACCUAGGCGACGAUCCCUAGCUGGUCUGAGAGGAUGACCAGCCACACUGGAACUGAGACACGGUCCAGACUCCUACGGGAGGCAGCAGUGGGGAAUAUUGCACAAUGGGCGCAAGCCUGAUGCAGCCAUGCCGCGUGUAUGAAGAAGGCCUUCGGGUUGUAAAGUACCUUCAGCGGGGAGGAAGGGAGUAAAGUUAAUACCUUUACUCAUUGACGUUACCCGCAGAAGAAGCACCGGCUAACUCCGUG
RNAcentral lists this ribosomal RNA (490 nucleotides) under uncultured bacterium. Its description in RNAcentral is "partial 16S ribosomal RNA". It matches the Rfam family "Bacterial small subunit ribosomal RNA", at positions 30 to 507 of the family's 1533-position model. The record is from RNAcentral.